GACAGAGGAUGCAAGCGUUAUCCGGAAUGAUUGGGCGUAAAGCGUCUGUAGGUGGCUUUUUAAGUGCGCCGUGAAAUCCCAGGGCUCAACCCUGGACAGGCGGUGGAAACUGCCAAGCUGGAGUACGGUAGGGAGGGAGAGAAUUUCAGGUGGAGCGGUGAAAUGCGUAGAGAUGGGGAAGAACACCAACGGCGAAAGCACUCUCUUGGGCAGGCACUGACACUGA
RNAcentral lists this ribosomal RNA (226 nucleotides) under uncultured bacterium. RNAcentral's name for it is "partial 16S ribosomal RNA". It matches the Rfam family "Bacterial small subunit ribosomal RNA", at positions 524 to 749 of the family's 1533-position model. The record is from RNAcentral.